CCCUUAGAUGUUCUGGGCCGCACGCGUGCUACACUGAGUAAUUCAAUGGGUAAGGGAACGCUAGAGCAUUACCUAAUCUUGAAAUUUGCUCGUGAUGGGGAUCGACGGUUGCAAUUUUCCGUCGUGAACGAGGAAUACCUUGUAGGCGCAUGUCAUCAUCAUGCGCCGAAUACGUCCCUGCCCUUUGUACACACCGCCCGUCGCUCCUACCGAUUGAGUGAUCCGGUGAGGCUCUGGGACCUGGAUGGAAAGAGCGUUUCGCUUGUUCUGUUUGGGAAACUUGGUCGAACCUUAUCAUUUAGAGGAAGGAGAAGUCGUAACA
RNAcentral lists this ribosomal RNA (322 nucleotides) under uncultured eukaryote. Its description in RNAcentral is "partial 18S ribosomal RNA". It matches the Rfam family "Eukaryotic small subunit ribosomal RNA", at positions 1470 to 1796 of the family's 1831-position model. The record is from RNAcentral.